Molecule: ribosomal RNA, 253 nt
Filed under: uncultured bacterium
Lineage: Bacteria
Description: partial 16S ribosomal RNA
Rfam family: Bacterial small subunit ribosomal RNA
Source: RNAcentral
UACGUAGGGGGCGAGCGUUGUCCGGAAUUAUUGGGCGUAAAGGGCGUGUAGGCGGCCUGUUAAGUCAGGGGUGAAAACCCGGGGCUCAACCUCGGGGUUGCCUUUGAAACUGGCGGGCUUGAGUGCUCUAGAGGGCAGUGGAAUUCCCGGUGUAGCAGUGAAAUGCGUAGAGAUCGGGAGGAACACCAGUGGCGAAGGCGGCUGCCUGGGGAGUAACUGACGCUGAGGCGCGAAAGCUAGGGGAGCGAACAGG